RNAcentral lists this long non-coding RNA (1539 nucleotides) under Sorghum bicolor (sorghum). RNAcentral's name for it is "long non-coding RNA (SBIC_LNC013621)". The record is from RNAcentral. Lineage: Eukaryota; Viridiplantae; Streptophyta; Magnoliopsida; Poales; Poaceae.
CCCCAAAACCGUUGCUCCCGAAUUCCUCUCUCUCAGCAGCAACCGCCAAAGCCGCCCCCCGCGCCCACGUUCUCCUCUCCUCGCGUCUCGGCUACGUAGUGGAGAGCGUCCGCGCCCAAGCCGCUCCCCCUCUCAUUUUCUCCUCCUCGCUCUGUCUCAUCUCGCGAGAGUUCUGAGAAGUCGCAGAAGAAUCGCCGCCGGCGACCUCCACGCGAUUUCCGUCGAGCCGUGCCUUUCUCGCCCGUUUCUUCGCGUAGGUGAGAUCCUCGUUUCCCCCGCUUCGUUCUCGUCCAUUUUCUUUGCGAAACGAUGCGUUCCUUCGUCAUGGCCGCGAGCUCCAGGGACUCCGGCAUGGCGCCGCCGUGAACCUUCUCGGAAACCGCCUCCUCGACCGCAUUUUUGGGGUGGAAUGGACUCACAUCGCUCUCCUCUUUCUCCCAGUUCAAUCGGAAUCGAAAACCGUGCACCGUAGCCCCUCCUCUGCUCAACUCCGGCGAGCUUCAGGCGCCGGCCAUGGUGGCCAUCGUAUUCUUCACGUGUUCUGGCCGGAGUCGGCCUGUGCGCCGUCCCCUUCCUCUCUCCUUUUUUUAUUUUUUUUUCUUUUAAUCCAGCGCGUUCAUCAAGAGAUCAACGGCCCAGAGAGCCCCAUACCCCUUCGGGGGCGAUUUUGAUUAAGAGUCCCCCAAAAUUAUUGUAUUUGCACCGCAGUCCUCGGCUAGAGAGAUUUUCCAGGAUUUAACUUAUUUAUUUAAAUUCGUUUAAACUAUGUCUUAUUUACAGAAUUGCCACCGCAUUGUUUUAGCUAUAAAAUCGUCGUUUGAACUCCGAAUCGACCCGUUCAAGUUGUGUUAGUUUCGUAAUUUCGUAAGCUUCGCGUUGGUACCACUGUUGUUUAGGUUUACCACUGUUAGAUUUCCUAGUUAAUUACAAGUCCAUAGAUUGUUGUUGAAAUCCCGUUAAAAGCGUAACUUUCGCGUCGUAAGUCCGUUUUUCGUGAAUUUCGCGUUGACGUGAUCGUAGCAGCACGUAGAUGAUUUUGGAAAACUUUUAUUUAAUUUAUUUACUGCUGGUGUACUGUUCUAACUUUAGGAAUUGUUCUCUUGCAUGUUCGUCUUGGUAUGCGUGAUGAUUGUGAUGUAUUGAUCGAGCCCAGACGGUGAGGAGUAUUUCGGGAGUCCGGAGCUCUUUGGGGAUCAGCAGGACCAGCAAGACCAGCAGGAGUACGUGAACCAAGGCAAGUAUAGCAUGGGCCUACCUUGUUGUCCUACUCAUUUUUAAGCAUUUCACCCUGCAUGUGUACAAUAUUGCAAACUAUAAGGACAUCCUAGCUGUUGAUGACAAUUACCUUGUUUCCGAGGGUUUUUAUUGCAUAUGGGUGGAAGUGCUAGUGCUCUAACUCCAAUUAUAUAUGAUGUGAAAUCAGUGAUGGAACCAUGGUUAAUUGAUUAAACAUGAUUAUGAUAAAUGGAACAUAGGGCUAUGGUAUAAAUGACUGUUGGUCAUGUUGUCCUAGACCCUCCGUAAGGACUUAUCUGUCGG